CCCAACACUGGAGCCUACCUGGGCACUUUGGUGGGGCUAAUGGCGGACUCUGGGAGGGCUCACACCAAGGAGUACUUCCCAGAACUUCUGCUGCCAGUGUCCUCGUCCCCAAGGUGAGCCACAGCCAGCCCCCACCUCUGCAGGAGACCCUCCAACACCAGCAGAAACUUGAAUUUUGACGUCUGUGGCCUAAAUCAAUGAACCUCCUCAAAUUAUCACAUUCAAAAGAAAUUGCUGUGCUACCAUGGCUGUUACUUAAUUUCUUUGCUAUUCUGAGAUCUGUCUUUAUGUAUUUAAAAAGAUCAAAUAAGUGGAUAAUGCCAGAGAGACGGGCGCCAUCCUGCAGCCUAAGAGAGAAGCAAUUACACAUUCUUUUGCUCUCCCCUUGAAAUCAACACAGAUAAGAAAAAUACCAUUUUGGCAGCACCUGCUGCUGCUGG
Balaenoptera acutorostrata (minke whale) is the source of this 440-nucleotide long non-coding RNA. RefSeq lists it as uncharacterized. The record is from RefSeq and is a predicted model, not a curated record. Lineage: Eukaryota; Metazoa; Chordata; Mammalia; Artiodactyla; Balaenopteridae. The transcript is spliced from 3 exons.